This is a long non-coding RNA of Aethalodelphis obliquidens (Pacific white-sided dolphin), 3554 nucleotides long. RefSeq lists it as uncharacterized. The record is from RefSeq and is a predicted model, not a curated record. Lineage: Eukaryota; Metazoa; Chordata; Mammalia; Artiodactyla; Delphinidae. The transcript is spliced from 4 exons.
GUCACACUCUGAGGUUCCAGGGAGACGUGAAUUUGGGGGGAACACUAUUCAACCCAGUAAAAACUCAUUACCCUAUUGUGCAGUAAACGUAGCACUGGCCUAAAAAUUAGAAUAGUCCUAGGUACUAAUUCUGCCUGUGCUACUAAUUUUAUGGGUGCAGACUUUGGAAUUCACGAUCAGAGGUUCAAAUCUCAGCUGUCACUUAAACUCAGUGAGUCUCAGUGUCUUCAUCUGUAAACUGAGGAUAAUUAUACCUAUGUUUUAGGUUGGACUAAAUAAGAUCAUGCUUUUUAGGUGCCUGGCAUAGUGCUUAGCAUAUUGUAGGUGCUUAACAAAUGUUUGUUUUCUCCUACCCAUUUCUUCUUAUUUUCUCCACAGUAAAAUCAUGAGUUUAUUUUUAAGAUAGUUCCAGCUUCAUAGUUAUGACAGCUCCUUUAAACUAUUUCUUCUUCAUACUCUGCCUUAUCCAUUUCUCUCCUCCCUUUUCUUUUUGUCAAUUUAGCCCCUUCAUUCCAGUGUUUUGUUCCCACUACCCCCAUUUUCUUCCUAAUUCUCUUCUUUCCAAUUUUAUUCCUUGUGGCUAGGAUGACAUUUAUCUGCUUUGCCCAGUAAUAGUCCUAGUUUAUGCCUGUGGUACCAGUGUAAUUAUUGAUAAUGUCCCCUUUCAUUCUUAUAGGGCUCUGGUUUGGAUGAUGUGUUAUAUGGUCACCCUACUAAGAGUGUUCUCAUAGUACUUGGACCUUCCUCUAUCAUUGCAUGAUCUGCAAUGUAUCAUGUGCAUUUUAAUUGUUUUGUGGGUCUGUCUCUUUGGCAGGAUUGAGAGCAGCAACUGGGAAUGAUUUUCUGUGUUUCCCCAAAGUCUAGCACAUUCCUGGCUCAUGGGGGCUGGUGCUCAGCAAUGUUUGUUGGACAUAUGAAUGUUCUUGAAAACUUGCUUCUUUCUGUGUAUAGCAGGCACUCAAUAAAUAAUCUUUAAAUUGAAGUAGAUUGCUGCCCUUUAUGAAAGUGAAAAAUGAACCCAAUAAGAACACUGUUCCUCUCUCUGCCUUCCUUUAUUUGUUGUCAUUAGCUUAGAGAUCUCACUUUACUUCCAGAUUUGUGACUCAUUUCUUCUUCUUGCCUCACCCUUAGCUAUUUUGAUUCUUUGAAAACUGGAGUUAUCCUUUUCACGACUCCCGUGGGUGCUGUGGUGACCUGCUUUCCAGUUGCUGCAUGUUUUAGGCAAGUGUAUCUCCAUGAUUAGAAUCUCACCACUGGCCCAGGCUCCUGAGGCUUUCUCUGUUCUGUUGUCUGUUUCAGAAGCACUUUAUCUGCCAUCUUGUUUCUAGCUUUGAGGCCACACCUUCUGUUGAUUGCUUCAUCUUGUUGCUGUGUCUAUACAAGCGAAAUUAGGUGGAUAAUCAAAUCAAUGAUGGGUUUAAUUCAGGCCUCAAAGUCAUUUUUGCCUGACACUUUUUCCUGUUGCUUUUGGCUCAGGGCCUCAGCACACCACCCUGCUUUUUUUUUUUUUUUUUUUUUACCCUGCUUUUUGUUUGUGGGUUGGGAUCUUCUAUGCCAUGGGAAUAUUUUCUAGGCCUGUCAUAUAGUUCAAAUGGUGGAAAACAUUUCCCCUCUUCAGGAAUUAUGAAAUUGAAGCCACCUGGAUUGAGUAAAUGGGUUGCGCUUCUUGCUAAUGGCUGAAAAUUGGCAUUUACUCAGUUUUCAAGAAACAAUUAUUGAAAAUGUACUAAGUAUAAAUAAUGAUACCAAUAAUUUUUGACUUUGAGAGUUUUAUAGAGGCUGUGGAGGUGUGCUGCUCAAAUCAACUUUCAUUAAGAACCUCCUGCAAAGAGUGUGGUUCAUCCAGAGUCUCCAGCUGCAGCACCUUUGGGAUCAGCCCCUGUUUUCACACUGCCAGGCCUCACUCUUCCCGGGCUUCUCUCAGCUGGUGACUGAGUGCAGCCAUUUCUGCCCAACACGGGACACCUCUAAUGGGUAAUCUUUGCUUAAGGACUCCCAGUCGGCCUGGCUUAGACUUUCUCAAAGGUGUACUUCAGUCUGACCUUCCUAUUACCCAGUCUUUUUUCUUGUCUCCUCUUCUUUCCCAAGUGUCAGACCUGCGUCAUGGUCUGAAGACUCUCCCCAUUAUGCCUGCUGCCUCUUCUCUUAAUUCUUCACAGGUAUUUCUCCCAAGAAAUCUCCUGCAUGACUCAUUUCAUCUUGGCACCUGUUUCUUGGAAGACUCAAGCCAACACAAGUUCCUAAUCUGGUAGUGAAGAUGAAAGAAACGUGUGCACAAAUAAUGCAAAAUACUCUUCAUUCCAUUCCUCUACAACAAUACCUUGACUGUGAAGAAUGGUUUCAAUAAGGAGGACAGAAUGACUUCUGACAGGAAGGUUGGGAGCUGUGACAUGCAGAAGAAAAAUGAAGCCAAUCAGCAUGGAGAAUCAGAAAUCCUAAAGAACCUGUUGGCAGCUUCUCCUGGUGAAGACAUAUCUUCCAUCACUGGUGAUCAGCUUCCUAAUUCUGACAGAUACAUCUGCCCAGGAAAGUACCUGGACCAAGAAUAACUAGUGGUUUUCUGUGUUAUGGGGACAUCUGGUUCCUGUUGACUGCCAUUUGAGACAUCCUGCUGUUUCAUCUUAAAGUCUUGGUCCUGAGUGUAUUCUGAACAGAGGUUGAAGAUGACCAAACCCUUCAACACUGUACAGAAUCUUGUCUGGUACUGGUCUCUGGGACAGGACCAGUGUGAGCCUCCUGCUUCUCCCCUUGCUGUUGUAUCUUGUCAUAGAAGCUUUCAGCUCUUGGCACUUGAUCAUGUGUACCAAUAAUCACGACUCUCUCUAGAUUGAAAGUCACUGUGCCCUCUGAGUGCUUUCUACAAAAAUUCUCUAAUUUUAGCCUGACCUUCCAAAAUCUUCUCCUAUCUUCUCCUUCUUCCUACCUUUAAAAUCUUAGGUCUUACCACAACCCUUCCAAUCUGAUUUACUUGGAUUUCCUAGACAUAUUUGUCCUCUCUUACAUCUUGUAGUCAGGUCAUUGCUUCUGUCUGUAUGUCUUUCUUCUCUCCCCUUUAGAGUCCUUCCAAGUCUUCAAGGUGCAACUCAAGUUUCACUUUGUUUUGAUACCUUCUCUGAACCAUAUGAAAUUUUCUACAGAUUCAUAAUCCCUUAUCUUCAAUUCUUAAAUUCAAGAUGCUCUGAAAACUGAAAGCUUUUAAAUAACUCAUUUAGUAGCAAAACCUAGACUAAUCUGAAACAAAUUGGAGACAAAACUUGAAUUGCACUGACUUGUCUUUAUCUGUAGUUUUUAUCUCAUGUAGUGUGUAUAUUCAUAUUCUGAUUGAUUGUGAUGUGCUAUCCCAGACCCUGCUGGGGUAAUAUAUAAUAUUACAUAUUACCUGUAUAAAAUCUAAAAUAGUCUUGAGUUCAGAAACUCAUCUGCCCCCAAGGGUUUUUGUAAUAAAAUACGGUUCUGUUAUUGUCCUUAUGGAGAAACUACUGUAUAUCUCUGUUUUUAAAUUUUAUGAUCCAUCUGAAGAUGCUUUAAUAAAGCUAACUUCUAGCAUAGAUUGG